AUGUAGCGUAAUCAAUAGCCAAUUAAUUGUUGGCCGGUAUGAAUGGCAUCACGAAGGCCCCACUGUCUUGAGAGGACUUCCCAUGAAAUUGAAUUCGUAGUGAAGAUGCUACGUCCAUAUUGUAAGACGAAAAGACCCCAUUGAGCUUUACUAAAGACUUGUAUGGCUCAAAAUAACUUAAAUAAAAAGUUUAGAUAAUGUGGGAUCCGUUUUUGGUUAAUGAAACACCACUCUUUUAUUUUAAGAGAGCUAACCUUGUAGGGAGAAUGCAAGUUGGAUAGUUUGGUUGGGGCGACCACCUUUUAAAAGGUAACGAAGGUGAGCUUAAGGUCCGUAGUUAAUAGCUGGUGGCCUGACUGCAAGGGGGACACCCCGAGCAGACACGUCCUUAGGGAUGUGGGUUAUAGUGACCCGUCAUUUUAGAGUGGAAUAAUUGACGAUCAACGAAUAA
RNAcentral lists this ribosomal RNA (451 nucleotides) under Andvakia boninensis. RNAcentral's name for it is "Andvakia boniensis partial 16S ribosomal RNA". It matches the Rfam family "Bacterial large subunit ribosomal RNA", at positions 1954 to 2459 of the family's 2925-position model. Lineage: Eukaryota; Metazoa; Cnidaria; Anthozoa; Actiniaria; Andvakiidae. The record is from RNAcentral.